RNAcentral lists this ribosomal RNA (440 nucleotides) under uncultured bacterium. RNAcentral's name for it is "partial 16S ribosomal RNA". It matches the Rfam family "Bacterial small subunit ribosomal RNA", at positions 338 to 795 of the family's 1533-position model. The record is from RNAcentral.
CCUACGGGUGGCUGCAGUGGGGAAUCUUGGACAAUGGGCGCAAGCCUGAUCCAGCCAUGCCGCGUGAGUGAUGAAGGCCUUAGGGUUGUAAAACUCUUUCGCCGAGGACGAUAAUGACGGUACUCGGAGAAGAAGCUCCGGCUAACUUCGUGCCAGCAGCCGCGGUAAUACGAAGGGGGCUAGCGUUGUUCGGAUUUACUGGGCGUAAAGCGCGUGUAGGCGGGCUGGAAAGUUGGGGGUGAAAUCCCGAGGCUCAACCUCGGAACUGCCUCCAAAACUUCCAGCCUGGACUCAAGUAGAGGCAAGUGGAAUUGCGAGUGUAGAGGUGAAAUUCGUAGAUAUUCGCAGGAACACCAGUGGCGAAGGCGACUUGCUGGACUUGUAGUGACGCUGAGACGCGAAAGCGUGGGGAGCAAACAGGAUUAGAUACCCCAGUAGUC